Molecule: ribosomal RNA, 520 nt
Filed under: uncultured Glomus
Lineage: Eukaryota; Fungi; Glomeromycota; Glomeromycetes; Glomerales; Glomeraceae
Description: SSU rRNA
Rfam family: Eukaryotic small subunit ribosomal RNA
Source: RNAcentral
AGCAGCCGCGGUAAUUCCAGCUCUAAUAGCGUAUAUUAAAGUUGUUGCAGUUAAAAAGCUCGUAAUUGAAUUUCGGGAUCAGUACGUCGGUCGUGCCUCCGGUAUGUACUGGCGUUACUGAUUUCUCCCUUCUGGUGAACCAUGAUGUCAUUAAUUUGGUGUUGUGGGGAGCCAGGACUGUUACUUUGAAAAAAUUAGAGUGUUUAAAGCAGGCAAACGCUUGAAUACAUUAGCAUGGAAUAAUGAAAUAGGACGUUCGAACCUAUUUUGUUGGUUUCUAGGAUCAACGUAAUGAUUAAUAGGGAUAGUUGGGGGCAUUAGUAUUCAAUUGUCAGAGGUGAAAUUCUUGGAUUUAUUGAAGACUAACUACUGCGAAAGCAUUUGCCAAGGAUGUUUUCAUUAAUCAAGAAUGAAAGUUAGGGGAUCGAAGACGAUCAGAUACCGUCGUAGUCUUAACCAUAAACUAUGCCGACUAGGGAUCGGAUGAAGUUAAUUUUUAAUGACUCAUUCGGCGCCUUAA